This 552-nucleotide ribosomal RNA is filed under the name Ebenavia cf. inunguis. Its description in RNAcentral is "partial 12S ribosomal RNA". The record is from RNAcentral. Lineage: Eukaryota; Metazoa; Chordata; Lepidosauria; Squamata; Gekkonidae.
ACGGCCCUUAGCCUACUAAUCCGUGCUGAACUAAGUCAACCAGGUGCCCUACUAGGCGACGACCAGAUUUAUAAUGUCAUUGUUACUGCCCACGCAUUCGUGAUAAUCUUUUUUAUGGUGAUGCCCGUAAUAAUCGGCGGUUUUGGCAAUUGACUUGUUCCCCUGAUGAUCGGCGCCCCUGAUAUAGCCUUUCCACGAAUAAAUAAUAUAAGCUUCUGAUUGCUUCCCCCAUCACUUCUCCUUCUACUUGCCUCAUCUGGCGUCGAAGCCGGCGCAGGAACUGGUUGAACUGUAUACCCCCCCCUUGCCGCCAACUUAGCCCACGCAGGCGCAUCUGUAGACCUAGUUAUCUUCUCACUACAUCUGGCAGGUGUAUCAUCAAUUCUAGGGGCAUCAAUUUUAUUACCACCUGCAUCAACAUAAAAUCCCCCACACUGUCGCAAUACAACACUCCCCUGUUUGUCUGAUCUGUAAUAAUUACAGCAGUAUUACUACUACUUGCCCUACCAGUUCUUGCGGCCGGCAUCACCAUACUUCUAACCGACCGAAACC